This 568-nucleotide ribosomal RNA is filed under the name uncultured Glomus. RNAcentral describes it as "SSU rRNA". It matches the Rfam family "Eukaryotic small subunit ribosomal RNA", at positions 537 to 1109 of the family's 1831-position model. Lineage: Eukaryota; Fungi; Glomeromycota; Glomeromycetes; Glomerales; Glomeraceae. The record is from RNAcentral.
GUGAUUUUGGAGGGCAAGUCUGGUGCCAGCAGCCGCGGUAAUUCCAGCUCCAAUAGCGUAUAUUAAAGUUGUUGCAGUUAAAAAGCUCGUAGUUGAAUUUCGGGGUUAGUAGGUUGGUCAUGCCUCAGGUAUGUACUGAUCUUACUGAUUCCUCCUUCCUGAUGAACCGUAAUGCCAUUAAUUUGGUGUUGCGGGGAAACUGGACUGUUACUUUGAAAAAAUUAGAGUGUUUAAAGCAGGCUAACGCUUGAACACAUUAGCAUGGAAUAAUGAAAUAGGACGUUCGAUCCUAUUUUGUUGGUUUCUAGGAUUGACGUAAUGAUUAAUAGGGAUAGUUGGGGGCAUUAGUAUUCAAUUGUCAGAGGUGAAAUUCUUGGAUUUAUUGAAGACUAACUACUGCGAAAGCAUUUGCCAAGGAUGUUUUCAUUAAUCAAGAACGAAAGUUAGGGGAUCGAAGACGAUCAGAUACCGUCGUAGUCUUAACCAUAAACUAUGCCGACUAGGGAUCGGAUGAUGUUAAUUUUUUAAUGACUCAUUCGGCGCCUUACGGGAAACAAUCGAAUUCCCG